UGGCUCAGAACGAACGCUGGCGGCGUGCCUAAUACAUGCAAGUCGAGCGGACAGAAGGGAGCUUGCUCCCGGAUGUUAGCGGCGGACGGGUGAGUAACACGUGGGUAACCUGCCUGUAAGACUGGGAUAACUCCGGGAAACCGGAGCUAAUACCGGAUAGUUCCUUGAACCGCAUGGUUCAAGGAUGAAAGACGGUUUCGGCUGUCACUUACAGAUGGACCCGCGGCGCAUUAGCUAGUUGGUGAGGUAACGGCUCACCAAGGCGACGAUGCGUAGCCGACCUGAGAGGGUGAUCGGCCACACUGGGACUGAGACACGGCCCAGACUCCUACGGGAGGCAGCAGUAGGGAAUCUUCCGCAAUGGACGAAAGUCUGACGGAGCAACGCCGCGUGAGUGAUGAAGGUUUUCGGAUCGUAAAGCUCUGUUGUUAGGGAAGAACAAGUGCAAGAGUAACUGCUUGCACCUUGACGGUACCUAACCAGAAAGCCACGGCUAACUACGUGCCAGCAGCCGCGGUAAUACGUAGGUGGCAAGCGUUGUCCGGAAUUAUUGGGCGUAAAGGGCUCGCAGGCGGUUUCUUAAGUCUGAUGUGAAAGCCCCCGGCUCAACCGGGGAGGGUCAUUGGAAACUGGGAAACUUGAGUGCAGAAGAGGAGAGUGGAAUUCCACGUGUAGCGGUGAAAUGCGUAGAGAUGUGGAGGAACACCAGUGGGGAAGGCGACUCUCUGGUCUGUAACUGACGCUGAGGAGCGAAAGCGUGGGGAGCGAACAGGAUUAGAUACCCUGGUAGUCCGCGCCGUAAACGAUGAGUGGUAAGUGUUAGGGGGUUUCCGCCCCUUA
This 840-nucleotide ribosomal RNA is filed under the name Bacillus sp. L-02. RNAcentral describes it as "bacterial SSU rRNA". It matches the Rfam family "Bacterial small subunit ribosomal RNA", at positions 20 to 842 of the family's 1533-position model. The record is from RNAcentral. Lineage: Bacteria; Bacillati; Bacillota; Bacilli; Caryophanales; Bacillaceae.